GAUGAACGCUAGCUACAGGCUUAACACAUGCAAGUCGAGGGGUAACGAGAGGAAAGCUUGCUUUCCUUGUCGACGACCGGCGCACGGGUGAGUAACGCGUAUCCAACCUGCCCCCAACUAGGGAAUAACCUUGCGAAAGUAAGACUAAUACCCUAUAAUUUCCUCAGAUGUCAUCUGACGAGGAAUAAAGAUUUAUCGGUUGUGGAUGGGGAUGCGUCUGAUUAGCUUGUUGGCGGGGUAACGGCCCACCAAGGCAACGAUCAGUAGGGGUUAUGAGAGGAAUGUCCACCACAGUGGAACUGAGACACGGUCAAACUCCUACGGGAGGCAGCAGUGAGGAAUAUUGGUCAAUGGGCGGAAGCCUGGACCAGCCAAGUAGCGUGCAGGAUGACGGCCCUAUGGGUUGUAAACUGCUUUUAUACAGGAAUAAAGUUAGCCACGUGUGGUUAUUUGUAGGUACUGUAUGAAUAAGGACCGGCUAAUUCCGUGCCAGCCGCCGCGGUAA
This 505-nucleotide ribosomal RNA is filed under the name uncultured bacterium. Its description in RNAcentral is "partial 16S ribosomal RNA". It matches the Rfam family "Bacterial small subunit ribosomal RNA", at positions 28 to 523 of the family's 1533-position model. The record is from RNAcentral.